RNAcentral lists this transfer RNA (77 nucleotides) under Holophagales bacterium. RNAcentral's name for it is "tRNA-Arg". It matches the Rfam family "tRNA". Rfam says of the family: Transfer RNA (tRNA) molecules are approximately 80 nucleotides in length. Their secondary structure includes four short double-helical elements and three loops (D, anti-codon, and T loops). The record is from RNAcentral. RNAcentral also lists the same sequence under 2 other names. Lineage: Bacteria; Pseudomonadati; Acidobacteriota; Holophagae; Holophagales.
CUGCCCGUAGCUCAGCUGGAUAGAGCAUCGGCCUUCUAAGCCGAGGGUCAGCGGUUCGAGCCCGCUCGGGCAGGCCA